GGAGUUAGCCGGUGCUUCUUCUGCGAGUAACGUCACAGAUGUAAGGUAUUAACUUACACCCUUUCCUCCUCGCUGAAAGUGCUUUACAACCCGAAGGCCUUCUUCACACACGCGGCAUGGCUGCAUCAGGGUUUCCCCCAUUGUGCAAUAUUCCCCACUGCUGCCUCCCGUAGGAGUCUGGGCCGUGUCUCAGUCCCAGUGUGGCUGAUCAUCCUCUCAGACCAGCUAGGGAUCGUCGCCUAGGUGAGCCUUUACCUCACCUACUAGCUAAUCCCACCUGGGCUUAUCCAUCAGCGCAAGGCCCGAAGGUCCCCUGCUUUCCCCCGUAGGGCGUAUGCGGUAUUAGCAGUCGUUUCCAACUGUUAUCCCCCACAAAUGGGCAAAUUCCCAGGCAUUACUCACCCGUCCGCCGCUCGUCAUCUUCAAAGCAAGCUUUUGAAAUGUUACCGCUCGACUUGCAUGUGUUAGGCCUGCCGCCAGCGUUCAAUCUGAGCCAGAAUCAACUCUGA
RNAcentral lists this ribosomal RNA (509 nucleotides) under uncultured bacterium. RNAcentral describes it as "partial 16S ribosomal RNA". The record is from RNAcentral.